RNAcentral lists this unclassified non-coding RNA (329 nucleotides) under soil metagenome. RNAcentral's name for it is "partial contains 5.8S ribosomal RNA, internal transcribed spacer 2, and large subunit ribosomal RNA". The stretch from base 1 to 120 matches the Rfam family "5.8S ribosomal RNA", at positions 35 to 154 of the family's 154-position model. The record is from RNAcentral.
GAUGAAGAACGCAGCGAAAUGCGAUAAGUAAUGUGAAUUGCAGAAUUCAGUGAAUCUUCGAAUCUUUGAACGCACAUUGCGCCCCCUGGUAUUCCGGGGGGCAUGCCUGUCCGAGCGUCAUUACAACCCUCAAGCUCAGCUUGGUGUUGGGCCCCGCCGCCCCGGCGGGCCCUAAAGUCAGUGGCGGUGCCGUCCGGCUCCGAGCGUAGUAAUUCUUCUCGCUCUGGAGGUCCGGUCGUGUGCUCGCCAGCAACCCCCAAUUUUUUUCAGGUUGACCUCGGAUCAGGUAGGGAUACCCGCUGAACUUAAGCAUAUCAAUAAGCGGAGGA